UCCGGCUUGUCACCGGCAGUCCCUUCAGAGUGCCCAACUAAAUGAUGGCAACUGAAGGCGAGGGUUGCGCUCGUUGCGGGACUUAACCCAACAUCUCACGACACGAGCUGACGACAGCCAUGCAGCACCUAGUUUCGCGCCCUUGCGGGAAGGCCCCUUUCAGGGCCGGUCGCUAACUUUCAAGCCCAGGUAAGGUUCCUCGCGUAUCAUCGAAUUAAACCACAUGCUCCUCCGCUUGUGCGGGCCCCCGUCAAUUCCUUUGAGUUUCAACCUUGCGGUCGUACUUCCCAGGUGGAUCACUUAAUGGUUUCCCUUAGACGCUGACUGUGUAUCGCCAACAUCGAGUGAUCAUCGUUUAGGGCGUGGACUAC
Molecule: unclassified non-coding RNA, 371 nt
Filed under: uncultured bacterium
Lineage: Bacteria
Description: contains 16S-23S intergenic spacer region
Source: RNAcentral